RNAcentral lists this ribosomal RNA (506 nucleotides) under uncultured bacterium. Its description in RNAcentral is "partial 16S ribosomal RNA". It matches the Rfam family "Bacterial small subunit ribosomal RNA", at positions 29 to 523 of the family's 1533-position model. The record is from RNAcentral.
AUUGAACGCUGGCGGCAGGCCUAACACAUGCAAGUCGGACGGUAGCACAGAGGAGCUUGCUCCUCGGGUGACGAGUGGCGGACGGGUGAGUAAUGUCUGGGGAUCUGCCCGAUAGAGGGGGAUAACCACUGGAAACGGUGGCUAAUACCGCAUAACGUCGCAAGACCAAAGAGGGGGACCUUCGGGCCUCUCACUAUCGGAUGAACCCAGAUGGGAUUAGCUAGUAGGCGGGGUAACGGCCCACCUAGGCGACGAUCCCUAGCUGGUCUGAGAGGAUGACCAGCCACACUGGAACUGAGACACGGUCCAGAAUCCUACGGGAGGCAGCAGUGGGGAAUAUUGCACAAUGGGCGCAAGCCUGAUGCAGCCAUGCCGCGUGUAUGAAGAAGGCCUUCGGGUUGUAAAGUACUUUCAGCGGGGAGGAAGGCGGUGAAGUUAAUAGCUUCACCGAUUGACGUUACCCGCAGAAGAAGCACCGGCUAACUCCGUGCCAGCCGCCGCAGUAA